CCUGACCGCUGGAGGCGCUACAUGAUACAGGAGCUCAUGAUGCACACAGAGCUGUUAAAGGAGAGUGAGAGCCCAGUCCCGGUGUAAUUCUGCUCGUGAUCAGAAAUGCUUCUGAAAGUCUUUCUGGCUCGUUUGUUUGGUCGGCUUGUAGCAUUAGCUGUUAUGCUAACACGUGGGCUAAGAUGACGAUGGUGUACUCGGCGUGUUGGGCUCUGGUUGCUGUGUUAGCGUUGCUGCUAACUGGUUCUGAUCCAUCUGGAGAAACUGAGAGCGGAUCGUGAGGGCCGGCGUUGGAGCGAUGGUGUACUCGGCGUGUUGGGCUCUGGUUGCUGUGUUAGCGUUGCUGCUAACUGGUUCUGAUCCAUCUGGAGAAACUGAGAGCGGAUCGUGAGGGCCGGCGUUUGAGCGGGUGCAGAAAAUGUAGCAGGCAGAAACUUUUCCACUUUGAGCAAAUACUUGAGAGAAGAAUGAGGCCUUUCUAUUUCUGGACUGUGACAAUUAUGCUAGUGACGGUGAUCAGAGGAGGUCAAGAAGAAAUCCAGGGUUGACAAGACAGCAUGUAGUGGGGAAUACAGCAUCUCUACAGUUACACAGGAUCUGUAAUGUUCACCGCACCAUUUGAGGACUGUGAUUGCUGUGAGAUGUCUUCAUCAUGAGAGGUGGAGGUGAUCCUUUGUAGCAGCAUAAUGCAGCAGCACUGGAGCAGCAUCAACCUUAUCUGAGAAUGUCUGUCAGGAACAUGUCUCCAUGGUGCAACAGUUUUUAUUUUGACUGGGCUACGAGAACACGAGAAAUAUUUUUUUAUUUCAGAUGAUUAUUACUGAGCAAAGAUAAACAGAUAUUUGUUAUGCUGGGUUUUGACUUCAUAAUGUUUUUUUUUCCACCGAGUAUUGUUAACUGGGUUGUAAAAACAUCAGUGUGACUGUCACUGAGGUGCUACACAUUCAGAACGUACUGGAGACCUGUAUGUUGGUUCUUUCUCUAAUAGAUCUCCAAUCUUGUGGAUAUUUGUUGGGGAGAAUGUCUGUCACUGAUGACAGAACUGUACAUUAGGACCUCUCCAUUUUGUUUGCAAUUCACAAAUAAAUAUUCUGUUUUGAGCUAAAGUUGUUAAAUCACAUUCACUUUGGGGCUGAGUUGCUGUCGUUCCCAAUCGCUUCCACUUUGCUAUUAUACCACUGACAGUUGACUGGAAUAUUUAGAAUGAAAUGACAUGUCAUAGUAACAUACAACAUAAUAACAUGGGCACAUGUACAGUGGUGUUCAAAAAAAUAGCAGUCCAACACCAUUAACCUGAUAUAUCACUGUUUUUAGUAGAAAUGCUAUUUCCACAUAGCAAAAAAUUUACUUGAAAGUGUAGUAGAGUAAUGAAAACAAAACAAACCCAACAAUUAGAACAUGCAUGCCGCUCAUUCUGAGUAAUCGAAGCAUUGAUUGAAAGGUGGUUGUUCAAAAUAAUAGCAGUGAGGAAUUCAAUUGGUGAAGUCUUUCAUUCAUUCUGCAGAAGAACAGUAGUCAAUUUUGGCCCUUAUUUAAGGUAGGAGGGGGGCAAAUGUUGCACAGGUUGGUCAUAGCACAUUUCCUUCUGAAAUACUGGGUAAAAUGGGUUGUUCCAGACAUUGUUCUGAUGAACAGCGUACUUUGAUUAAAAAGUUGAUUGUAGAGGGAAAAACAUACAGAGAAGUUCAGCAAAUUAUCGGCUGCUCAGCUAAAAUGAUCUCAAAUACCUUGAAGUGACAACCAACACCUGAAAGACGUAGAAGGAAGCGUGGAACUACUGUUUGAAUGGAUUGAAGAAUAGCCAGAAUGGCAAAUGAUCAGCCAAUGAUCACCUCCAGAGAGAUCAAGGAACAUGUGAAGUUACCAGUGAGUACAGAAGAUGAUUAAGUGAAGCCAAUUUACCAGCAAUAACUCCUUGCAAAGUCCUGUUGUUAAGAAAAAGACGUGUCCUGAAUGGGUUAACAUUUGCCAAGGAACACAUUGACUGUUCCAAAGAGAAAUGGCUGAACAUUUUGUGGACUGGUGAAAGCAAAAUUGUUCUUUUUGGGUCUAGUGGCCGUAGACAGUACGUCAGACGACCCUCGAGCACUGAAUUCAAGCCACAGUACACUGAGUCUUCAAUCUAGUAAAGCAUGGUGGUACAAAAUGAUGAUAUGGGAUGUUUAUUUAUACCAUGGUGUUACACCUAUUUAUCACAUACGAGGGAUCAUGGAUCAGUUUAAAUAUAUCAGAAUACUUGAGGAGAUCAUGUUACCCUAUAUGUCGAAGAAGAAAUGUCCUUAAAAUGGGUGUUUCAACAUGACAAUGACCCAAAACAUCUUAGUUACAGACAAACAAGAUUGAGGUAAUUGAGUGGCCAGACCAAUCCCCUGACUUUAAUCCCACAGAGAACUUGUGUUCUGAUAUCUGAAGCGCGUUUUUUUUAUUCAAAACCCAAAAUUGCAGAAGAACUGUGGAAUGUCGUCUAAUCAUCGUGGACUGGAUACCUGUUCAGAGGUGCCAGAAGUUGGUCGACUCGAUGCAACACAGAUCUCGUAAACAAUUGUUAUGCCACUAAAUAUUAGUUCAGUAAUUUAAAGUAAAGUGAAACCUCAAACAUUUUUUUCAGUUUAUAGAUAAUUUCUUUAGUUUUUAAAGAAAAAUGCUGGCAAUGCUAUUUUUUUUGAACAGCCUAAUAUUAAUUUUUCUUAACUUCCUGUAAAGGGACAGUGAUAGCUCAGUGGUUAAGGUACUGGACUAGUAAACAGAAGAUUGCCGGUUCAAGCCCCGCCACCACCAAGUUGCCACUGUUGGGUCCCUGAGCAAGGCCCUUAACCCUCAAUUGCUCAUUGUGUUCCGCUCAUUGUGUGUAAGUCGCUUUGGAUAAAAGCGUCUGCUAAAUUCUGAAAAUGUAAAUGGAUUAACACAAACUUGCUAAAUGUUGUUAAUGUUUUGAUUUAGAAUUGAAAGUUUAGUAUUUUCAUUGCAUUUGCAUUUAUGGAAAUAAAUGUUAUGAUGAUUUUGAGCUUUAUUCACUUUUUUUAAAUCACUGCUAUUUUUUUGAACACUACUGUAUGGGCACCCAGACCGGAAGAAUCAAAUGUAUCUGUAUCUAGCUUCUGCAGCCUUUCAAUAAAAGGCCAUAAACCAUUUCACAUUCAUUCUCGUGAAGUACUACACUUCAUUUCUGUUUUCAUGUUGUUGCAUUUGUUAAUUUGGGUCAAUAAAGAUAUUUUGAUACCUUUA
Long non-coding RNA from Trichomycterus rosablanca, 3225 nucleotides. RefSeq lists it as uncharacterized. The record is from RefSeq and is a predicted model, not a curated record. Lineage: Eukaryota; Metazoa; Chordata; Actinopteri; Siluriformes; Trichomycteridae. The transcript is spliced from 7 exons.